RNAcentral lists this transfer RNA (73 nucleotides) under Felis catus (domestic cat). It matches the Rfam family "tRNA". Rfam says of the family: Transfer RNA (tRNA) molecules are approximately 80 nucleotides in length. Their secondary structure includes four short double-helical elements and three loops (D, anti-codon, and T loops). The record is from Rfam by way of RNAcentral. Lineage: Eukaryota; Metazoa; Chordata; Mammalia; Carnivora; Felidae.
GCCUGGUUGGCUUAAUUGGAAAAGCAUGUGACUCUUAAUCUUAGGGUCAUGAUUUUGAGCUCCAUAUUGGGUA